Molecule: long non-coding RNA, 1046 nt
Organism: Pseudophryne corroboree (corroboree frog)
Lineage: Eukaryota; Metazoa; Chordata; Amphibia; Anura; Myobatrachidae
Exons: 4
Source: RefSeq, a predicted model, not a curated record
UCAGCACGGCUGUCAGAAACUAUCCCCGUGGUCCCUCGCUGUGCGUGCAGUGAGAGCAGAAAGUGAAAGUAAACUCUCUCUCAGUCUCUGCACUUCUGUUUCUCUUAUCUCCACAGUGUUGUCUGCAGCCCAGCACUCUCACACAGUGGUGAUGGAGGAUAUGGCUGUUUCUCUUGGCUUCUAACUCCAUUGUCCCGACCUGAUACCCCUGCUGAACACAAUUACAAUCAUGCACAUAAGUCUACGCGGAAUGUGAUAGAAAGAUGUUUUGGUGUGCUGAAAUCUAGGUUUCGGUGUCUGGAUAAGUCUGGUGGCCUUUUGUUGUAUAGUCCCUCGAAGGUGACUCAAAUUGUGUUCUGCUUUCUUCAUAACAUGUGUUUGCAACAUCUGCCACAUGUUGAGAAGGAGGAGGAGGAUGAAGAAAGCAGCCAGCAAGCAGAAGAAUUAGAAACAUCUGGUGAUACUUGGAGUACAGAUGUAGGGAGGCAGGUUAGGCAAGAGCUCAUCACUCGCUAUUUCUAAGCUUCUUACACACAAUGUGCUAUUGUAUGGCUCAAGUGGACAUACAUAUCUUUACUGGAUGUGGACAAGGCCAUUUUGCUUGGAUUCCAUUUCAUGUUUUACUUACUUUGUUUGAUACUCACAAUCAAGAUGAGGGGAGUGUGGUUGACGUCUUGGAGGUGUGUCCAAAAUUUGGAGUGUGGGGACCGAACAUACUGUGGAUAUUCUUCGUGGCGGUGUAGCCUGCUGUGGUUGGCCCUGGACAUCAGACCUUGCUUUCUUUGCUGCCACAGGUUUUUUUGUGGUGGUGUCUUACAGAAGUCCCACUUAUGCUGCUCCAGACUUCUUUUGAUGGACCUAUUAUUGAAAGUGAAAUUUUGUUAUGGCCAUUCCUUUACAAACAUACCCUAUACUACAAUGGACACUUUACCUGCUUCCGCAGCAUCAUCAUCAUCAUCAGAUGUGAUGGGAGUUACUGUAGGAUGAGUAGUACAGCUUUUUUCUAACACUGUAAAAAUAUAAUAAAAAAACAUGGAUUCAUGCUA